RNAcentral lists this ribosomal RNA (861 nucleotides) under Pleurotheciella fusiformis. Its description in RNAcentral is "LSU rRNA". It matches the Rfam family "Eukaryotic large subunit ribosomal RNA", at positions 114 to 1009 of the family's 3401-position model. Lineage: Eukaryota; Fungi; Ascomycota; Sordariomycetes; Pleurotheciales; Pleurotheciaceae. The record is from RNAcentral.
UUUGAAAUCUGACUUUCGGGUCCGACUUGUAAUCUGCAGAUGAGUCUUUUGGCGGAGCGCCGUCCAAGUUCCCUGGAACGGGACGCCGGAGAGGGUGAGAGCCCCGUACCGACGUGCGCCGAGUCUUUGCAAAGCUCAUUCGAAGAGUCGAGUAGUUUGGAAAUGCUGCUCUAAUUGUGGGGUAAAUCUCCCAUAAGGCUAAAUACUGGCCAGAGACCGAUAGCGCACAAGUAGCGUGAGCGAAAGAUGAAAAGAGCCUUGAACAAGGGCGUCAAAAAGCAUGUGAAAUUGUUAUGGGGGAAGCGCUCAAUGCCAGACGUGGCGACGGUUGGUUACCCGGCGUUCUCGCCGGCGCACUCUGCCGCCGCCAGGCCAGCAUCAGUUCGGUCCGGGGCUUACUUCCGCUCGGAACGUGGCUCUUCGGAGUGUUAUAGCCCUGCGGCGACGCCCUGGGCCGGACUGAGGAACGCGCAUCUGCCCGGAUGCUGGCGUAAUGGCUUUUAGCGACCCGUCUUGAAACACGGACCAAGGAGUUGACCUAGUAUGCGAGUGUUUGGGUGUCAAGCCCUCACGCGCAGUGAAAGCGAACGCAGGUGGGAGCCUCGGCGCACCAUCGACCGAUCCUGAAGUUUACGGAUGGAUUUGAGUAGGAGCAUACUGGGUCUGACCCGAAAGAAGGUGAACUAUGCAUGAAUAGGGUGAAGCCAGAGGAAACUCUGGUGGAGGCUCGCAGCGGUUCUGACGUGCAAAUCGAUCGUCAAAUUUGUGCAUGGGGGCGAAAGACCAAUCGAACCUUCUAGUAGCUGGGUCCUGCCGAAGUUUCCCUCAGGAUAGCAGAGUUGAUCCUCAGUUUCAUGAGGU